CUACAUUAAUGGCGUUCGUUUGAUCACCCUUUGCUACCAAUUGUUGUACUUGCUGCAUUGUGAGUGAUUUACCCAGUGAGCAUUUCUCGUCAGAGAUUUGAUUGCCUAAGUCCAGUUGUAGGGAAGAUGAUUUCUUGGAUUUGAUCAAGUGAUAGUACUUCUCUGUAGCUCCCCACCAUUUAGAAACAGAAGGUUGAGCCUCAGAUUUUGAAGACGAUAACGAGGCAAUGAAAUCAGAUAUUAUGGCUUUCUGAGAUGGCUUGAAAUUUCCAUACCAGAUGAGAUUGACGGUGAUCUUGCCAGUAAGAAGUGGGCCCUUGUGGUAUUUGAAAAGCAUAGGAUCUUGAUUUUCCAAUAUUCUUGCUGCUGAAGCACAACUGAGUAACAAAAAUGCAGAUAUCAAGACCAUAUUGAUGGAGAAACUGGCUGCCAUUUUGAAUUGGGAUUUGAUAUGAAAAGGAAAGUGGAAAAUAUGUGGAAUUUCUUUGUUUUCGAGAGGAUUUGAUGGUGGAAAUAGAGAGCUGAGGCAAUUCUUUAUAUAGGGAGUAUGGACUCAGAUCAGAACAGAGGAAGGCUCAACGAAGGAGACAAGAAUUUAGAAUGUGCCAGCCUUGAUAUUAUUGGAUUGGAUACGCGUUUUCACUUUAAUGAAUUCAUGAGUUUUUUAAAUAAAGUUGGGAGUUGACCCCACGACAUAAAAACAUUAUGUGCCAGCCAGCAUGGAUUUGAGGAAGGGACUACCUCUAAAUAUUUAUGAUCUGCUUGAUUUCCAUAAAGUCAACCUAAUGUUCAAAUUACCACAAGUUGCAAGAGCUUAAAGAUCAAAGUCUAGUUCAAGUGAUGAGAAUGAAGUUUUUACCAUAUUAGUAAAUAGUAAUUUGAGUUCGAUUCUCAGUUCGAUUACCAUAUUAAUAAAUAUAAAAUCUUGAAAAACUACACUUCAUUUGAUCUAAUCAUACUUUUCUGUGAUCAUAAACCAACUAAAGUAUCUUUUUAUAAAUUACAUGAUGUUGGUAUAGUUGUUUGUUAAUCUUUUUUUUCUCAUUUGCAAUUUUGAAAUAAUAAUAAAUUCCACUAAAAUUACAAGAAUUAAUAAAUACGAUAUAAAUUCAACUUUCAAUUUGUUCGUUUGAGAUUGGGUGCAAGUUCGGGAAAAAAAAAUAAUUGUUGGAGUAUAAGUCGUAGGUUCAAUGCAACGUGUAAAUAAAAUUAUAAAUCCUACAAAAUACAUUGAUAAAAAUAUUAUGUAAUGAACUUAUAAAUUUGAAUAAACUUCACAGAACCUGCUCUAAAAUUGUCCAAAGGACUCAUUUUAUGACAAAUAUUCAAAAUAUUUUGAAAUCAAGUUGCAUGCAUGCUUGCACGUACACCGAACACUAGAAAUUAGAGCAACUUUAAUAUAUAUAUAUAUAUAUAUUCAAGCUGUCGCCUACGCUGUAUAGUCAAAGCAACAAACUAUAAUUAAUUAAAACAUUAGCUGAUGGUUGGCCGAAAGGAAUGUAAUUUUGUCUCCUUCCAUACCGUCCUCAAAUGCUGUUGGCCAAACAUAAUUUCAUUUUGUUUUAAUUAAAAAACGCGUUAUCAAGCUGUAUUUUAAGUGAACUCUCUCUCUCUCUCUCUCUCUCUCUAAAUAAAUAUACACUUCAAGGUUGUAUUUGAGAUUUUUUUCCCUGUCAACUUUGAAUUGGGGAUAAGGAGAUUAGGUUGUGGUUUUAGGCAAAAACUGUCAAAUUGAAAUAUCAAAUUUAACGAAAACCAAUUGCAAAGUUAGGAGGGGGACAGCGGGAAGUCGACACUCAAUAAUGUCAAAGUUUAUAUCACAUGUAACUUUCACAUAACUAAAUACUUAUUUACGAGUGUUUACAUUUUUAAUUAAGUAACAUCUCCUAUAGAAUGUGUGGAUAAAAAUCAAGUAAUAAGUUGUGGAUUCAUAGAAUAUGUAUAUAAUGUAGAUUUGAUCCGUUCAAGAUAUAAUUUAAACUGUGCCAAAAAUGUACUUAAGUUGAAGGAUAAAACUGUCAAAUAACUUAAUAUUCUUCUAAUUUUAACAUUCUCCUCACUAAUUUUUCCUCAUUUGGUAACACUGUAUAAAUAUUAAAUAGGUUGAUGAUUAACUUUAUAAGUUAGAGAACGAUUUCCGCACUGUUUAUGUACUACAAGCAUGAUUGUAAUCAUAUGCUGACGCAAAAGAUAUUGACAUCUUUGGUAAAUAUUAAAUUAAAUAAAUUAGACAUAAUAACAGAAAGAGUACAAAACAUAUGAAAUGUUUGUUCGGUAUCCCAUCUAAAUAAAGGUUUUAACACAUCCUUUUUGACUAAUGGAAAAGUUGGUGUAUAUAGCACCAAUAUAAGUAGCCAUUUUGUAUGAGUAAUUAGUAUUUGAGCUUGGAAGUGACAUUGUUUAUGUAUCAAAAUGUCUUUCUAGUGAUGUUUAGUGUUAAUUGGCACUCGAAUUAUUCUUAUAUUUGCACUUCUCAUAAAUUUGGAAAAUUAUAAUAAAUUGUUUCAAACUUUUGACCUUCUUGCAUUUUUGUUUCAAACAUUUAAAUUUAGACUAACAUCGAUAACUUACGCAUUUUUUGCACAGUUGAUCCUUUUGGAUAAAUUCAGUACAAAAUUAUUGUUAAAUUUGCGAGUGAGCUACACUUUCUUUAAGGGAUAAAUAGUAUACGCAAUCCCAAAGUUUGAUAAAAUUAGCGAUCUUGUCCCCAACCUUCAAGAGAUUAAAAGUAAAUACAUCUUAUUAAUAUGUUUCUAAAAAUACAAAUUUAUCUUUUGUUUUUAAAUAAAAUGAAAUAAAAUAAAAUAAUAUCCUUCCCAAUAAGUUUAUCAAAAGCAACCAUUGUUGCCACCACCACAAUCAAGCACAAAAUGACCGAAAUGAAUUGGAGCUUUUCUCAAUCUCCAAAAAUGAUAAAAAUGAGUUGGGGUGGUGGGGCUGCAACCAGGAGGAAAUGGGUGAAGACGGUGCUUAGUGUUUUAUUUUUUAAAUAUUUGUGUUUGUUGGAGGUGCACCAUUAGCCUGAUUUACUUUUAAGGUUAGUGAUCAGUUUCCUUUAUUAAAACAGCAUGUUCAAGUCACACGACUGAUCCAAUAGUAAGCUGACAAAAACUGUUAGGAGAGACUGACUUUUCCAUUUACCAAAGAUUAGGAACAGACAUAAGACAAGACAUUUGUAAGGGCAUGAACGCUACUUUUGUCAAAAUUGGGACUACAUAUGCAAUUUAUCCUAAUUUCAGUUAGUGGCGACCCUGAGUAUAGGCGAGAUAUACGAUCUCCUAAGGCCCCGUUCUGGUGAUGACCCUAAAUUAUGUAAAGUUAAUUAAUUGAUUGAAGAAAAAUGAGAAUCAUAUUUAUGAAAUUCUGCAAAAUAGAGUUAUCGUAUGCAAACAUAAGAAACUAAUAUAUAUAUAUAUAUAUACACACUUUAUUUUCCAAACAUUCAUUUUCUUUUCUUAACCAAACAAAAAGUCUAUUUAUCUCUUCAAAUUCCACGUCCAACAUUCACCUUCCAUUAUUUUUUCACCCAACAAAAUUUAAAUUAUUUCUCUUUGAAUUAAAAUUUUAAAGAUUUAUUGCAGAUUAGUUUGAUCUCAUUGCCAUUUUUAAAACCUUACACGUUUUUUUCUUUUUUUCUUAUCUUCAAAACACAUACUACAGAGUACAUAAGUUGUUAUUAUAUUGUUUUUUAACUUCAUGAUAAUAAUAUUUUUAGAUGUUCGCUGAAAAUGCUUUGAAUUUAAUAAUCCUUUAUCCGUAUUCAUACAGACACUUCUUAUUUUUAAAUUAAUUUCUUAUAAAUUAAUAUAAAAUUAGAAGUUCAUUUGUAUUUGAUCAUUAUUUUCAUUUUUUUUGUUACACUAUUUUUGUAGUCAAUAUUCUCCAAUUCUGUACAUAAAUCACUCAAAUGUAUAUUCAUUUUCGUGCGAAAAAGUUGCAGUGAGAAAAUGUCAUUGGAUUGUAAUUCUGAUUGUCAAACUUUAUUUUUAAAUUUUACUGCAAGUUGAAAUUUGAUAUUUUUUUAAUUUCCUCUUCAAAUUUUGGGGCUUAGUUGUCCGUAUUAGAUUCUUAAUAAUUAUAUUAAGCCACUGUUUGAAAUCGAUUAAAAUCUAAAUUUUAAUUUAACUAUAUAUUUUAUGGAUCUCACAACUUUAAAUUCACAUAUUUCAUCUACUUUUAUCCAAAUCUACUAAUAAUUUGAUUUUAAUCUCUAUCAAACAAAAGCUAAAACUCUAUAUAAGAAGACCCAAAAUAUCAUGGCCCCAUAUUUAAAAUUGGUAUAAGGUUCCCAAAAUAUCAGGGUCGGCCCCGAUUUCAGUCCUUGCAUAAAACUAACAGUCAUUUCGGAUGAAAACCAUAAAAAAGGUCCAUCUGUGCCAAAAAUGAAUAGUUUGGGACAUCAUUGUCACGAUUUAAAAGUUCAGGAGCAAAAAUGCAAGAUGGGUAAAGAUUUGGGCCCAUUUAUAUCAAUUUCCCUAUAAUAUUUUCUAUUUCAUAAUUUUUCUCUUAUGAAAAAGACGAAGUUAGAUUCGUAUUAUAAUAAUCUUUAACCAACAAAGGUCUAGGUGAUUAAAGUUUAGGUAUGAAGUUUAAAAAAAAUAAAAAAAAAUAAAAAUGUCAUUUAACUUGUAGAAAAAUUCAUCACUUGUCUUUAUUUUGUUCUAAUAGCUUGUAAAAGUAAUCAAUUUAUUACAUCAUCAUCAUCAAUCUGGUUUGUAAUAUUCAAGAAAAUUUGUACAUGACUAAUUAAAAAUGGUUACACGUUGUGAGUGGCAAUACCUUGUUAAUUUUAUAAGUUGAACCUCCACAUCAAAAACUCAAAAUAAUGCUAACCAAUAACUCGUAAACAAACUUAGCAACUCAAUCGAAUUAAUGUGCAAAAAGGAUCAGAAAAUGAAUGAAUAAAUUAAUCUUGUAAGUAUACAUUUACAUUGUACCCAACAUUAUAGCGUCAAAAAAGUAAAAUCUAACAUCUUAUUACAAUACUUUCUAUACCAAAGUCGAACAUGAUUUAGUGGUAGGAUCAAGUAAAGCCGGAACCAAAUAUUUUCUUCCAUUGACACCAUUUGCAUUGUAGCUAGCACCGGUCGUGGGGUCCACUAGCAAGUCCCCGGCGUAGCCCGGGUAGGCCCCUUUAGCAUAGACCCCAGGGCAGGCCGAAGCAGCCUCCAAUGGUGCAUCAGAUGGACCCUGGUAAUACCCAUUUCCGAAUGGGUUGGUGGCAGUCCCAGCUAAAAGGCUAGCCAAGUUGAUAACCAUGCCGUCCAAGCCCACAUCAUUGUUGGGUGCAACUAAUGGUGGGCUCUGUGGGCCGUAAAUGGGCUGGUGGAAUGGCCAGGCACAUUGACCCGGGCACUGGGUCUCCGAGUUACCAACCCAGAUGUAGGCAAACUUGCUGUGAUUCUUUCCUUUCAAGAGGGCAGUCUUGGAAGCUACAGAACCAUGGGUUCCGCAUCUACUGGAACAGAAACCUUCAACUGCGACGUCGGCUGAAGUCAAGACUACAUUAAUGGCGUUCGUUUGAUCACCCUUUGCUGCCAAUUGUUGUACUUGCUGCAUUGUGAGUGAUUUACCCAGUGAGCAUUUCUCGUCAGAGAUUUGAUUGCCUACGUCCAGUUGUAGGGAAGAUGAUUUCUUGGAUUUGAUCAGGUGAUAGUACUUCUCUAUAGCUCCCCACCAUGUAGAAACAGAAGGUUGCGCCUCAGAUUUUGAAGACGAUAACGAGGCAAUGAAAUCAGAUAUUAUGGCUUUCUGAGAUGGCUUGAAAUUUCCAUACCAGAUGAGAUUGACGGUGAUCUUGCCAGUAAGAAGUGGGCCCUUGUGGUAUUUGAAAAGCAUAGGAUCUUGAUUUUCCAAUAGUCUUGCUGCAGAAGCAAAACUGAUGAACAGAAAUGCAGAUAUCAAGAUCAUACUGAUUGAGAAACUAGCUGCCAUUUUGAAUUGGGAUAUGAUUUUGAACAGAGAAGUUGUAGAAAAUAUGUGGAAUUUCUUUGUUUUUUGUGAGGAUUUGAUGGUGGAAAUGGAGAGUUGAGACAAUUCUUUAUAUAGGGAGUAUGGACUCGGAUCAGAAUGGAGGAAGGCUCGACGAAGGAGACAAAAGAAUUUAGAAGACAGCAAUAAUCUUAAUGGAUGCGCGUUUUUACUUUUUCAAAUAAAGUUGGGAGUUGACCCCACGAAAACAAAUUAUGCGCCAGCAAGCACAGCAUACAUUGAGCCCUUUUACUUGGCAUCGCCCCCUGUUUGGACAGGGGAUUGUCCAAGAAGAAUAAGCCGCAUUGAUUUUAGGAAUGGCCAACCUCUAAAUAUUCCGAGACAUGCUAUAUGUAUACCGUGACACUCUGGUGUACAAAUAGAAAAAUCCAAAUAUAUCUGAUCUGCUUGCACUUCCAUAAAUGCAUAUAUUUGUUUGGGAAAUUUUAUGAUUUGGUCCCUAAAAGCCAUAUCCACAAUUCGCAAGAACUUAAAGAUCAAGAACUAGUUUCAAACAUCGAAUGAUGAGAAGAAAGUUCAAUUCUCAAUUUGGAGAGAGAGAAUUAUAAAAUCUUGAAAAACUAUAAUUCAUUUGAUUUAGUUAUGCUCCUCAUGAUAAUAAAAAAAAAAAAAAAAAUCUAGUAGAGCGUCUUUCCGACUCAUUGAAAUUGAGUAAAUUUAUUAUGAUCCUUCAAGUUCAUAACUUCCUCACAAUCAAAAGCAUUGUUGAUAUAUUCCCUUAUCAUCAAAAAAUUUAAUCAUACAUUCUCAUAUCAUUCUUGUUUUUCUCAAAACCAUUAUCAAUUAAUUGUAUAACUGGAUUUUUAUGCGCUUGUUCCGGCAAUGCAAUAAAACCUCCAUCCACAUAUUUUUCCAAUUCCCAAAUCUCUUUAUCGUUACGCUGAUUUUCUUUAUAAAACAAUUCGAUAUUGGUGUGAUUGCUUGCUACUCUUCGUUUUCUCAUUUGUAAUUUUGAAAUGGAACAGAUAAAUUCAAUUAGCAAUUUGUUUGUUUGAGAUUAGGUACAAGUUUGGUAAAAAAAUUGUGAAUUAUAAGUUGUAAGUCCUAUGAAAUGCGUAGAUAAAAAGUUAUAAAUACUACUAACUAUAUUAAUAAAAGUGAUAUAGAUAGAACAUUUGAAAAAGCUUAAACGGGCAUACUCUAAAAUGGUCCAAAAAAAAAAAAAAAAAUCUAGUAGAGCGUCUUUCCGACUCAUUGAAAUUGAGUAAAUUUAUUAUGAUCCUUCAAGUUCAUAACUUCCUCACAAUCAAAAGCAUUGUUGAUAUAUUCCCUUAUCAUCAAAAAAUUUAAUCAUACAUUCUCAUAUCAUUCUUGUUUUGCUCAAAUCAUUAUCAAUUAAUUGUAUAACUGGAUUUUCAUGUUCUUGUUCCGACAAUGCAAUAAAACCUCCAUCCACAUAUUUUUCCAAUUCCCCAAUCUCUUUAUCGUUAAAAUGAUUUUCUUUAUAAAAUAAUUCGGUAUUGGUGUGAUUGCUUGCUACUCUUCGUUUUCUCAUUUGUAAUUUUGAAAUGAAACAAAUAAAUUCAAUUAGCAAUUUAUUUGUUUGAGAAUUAUAAGUUAUAAAUCCUAGGAAAUAUGUAGAUAAAAAAUUAUGAAUACUACUAACUAUAUUAAUAAAAGUGAUAUCAAUUCAUACAUUUGAAAAAGCUUAAACGGGCAUACUCUAAAAUGGUCCAAAUACCUCCAAGACUCAUUUCAUCACAAAUAUUAAUAUAAUAUAUUUUGAAAAACCAACGUGCAUGCAUGCUUGCUCGCACACAGAACACAUUGGAAAUUACGGUAGCUUAAUACAUAUAAUUAACUUGUAUAUUCAAGCUGUCCCCUACGUCCUAUAGUCAAAGCAACAAACUUUAAUUAAUUAAUCACUUCGCUGGGACGCUGGAAGCAAAGGUGGAGAGUUCGAUUCCUGGAGUUAACACUGGGUGCUAAAAUGGAGGGGAAGCCAUUUGGUUGAACAAACGCCCAGCGAGGAGAGCUCUCUUUGCGGAAGGAGUCCAAAUGAGUUGUGGGAACCUGGGAGCCAACAAGGGCACAUCCUGCGAUUUACCUCCCUGAGCUGCUGAGGGGCCAGAGGUUCAGGGACAAGGAUCUAGUCGGACGCAAGCCCGGACACCUUGUAAAAAAAAAAAAAAAAAACAAACUUUAAUUAAUUAAAAUAUUAGUUGAUGGUUAGCCGAAACGAAUGAUUUUGUCUCUUUCCAUACCUUCCUCAAAUGCUGUUGGCCAAACAUAACUUUAUUUUGUUGUUAUUCUUCGAUUCAAGCUGUUUAUUAAUUUAAAAAACGCGUUAUCAAGCUGUAUUUUAAGUGAACUCUCUCUCACACACAAAUAUACACCUCAAGGUUGUAUUUGAGUUUUUUUCAUGUCUUGUGGGAAUUGGGGAUAAAGAGAUUAGGUUACGAUUUUUGGCAAAAAAUUUCAAAGUGAAAGACCAAAUUCAAAUUAUCAUUUUUGAAUUAAUGACAAAGGUAGGUGGGGCCAGGGGUAAUGUUUACAUUGUAUCAUGAGAUUGAAUUGAAAAUAGUAACGUCAAAAGUUAAAAUCACAUAUAGUCCUUGUUUGGUGAUGAUUAAAAUUAGAUUUUUAAUAGAUUUUGAUUUAAGUUGAUAAAAUGAGUUGUUGAAGAGUUUUGGGUCGAAGUUCAAAACACAUGUAACUUUCAUGUAACUAAGUACUUGUUGGGAGUGUUUACAUUUUACUUUAAGUAGAAUGUCCUAUAGAAUGUGUUGUUAGGUUGGAUGCCCCAAAUUAGGAAUGGGAUUCUCGAAGAUUACGUAAUUCGUUCUUGGAUAUGGGAAGAUAUCAAUUUGAACUUGGAAAGGAAUCAAUUGCAUAAAAAAUUAAGGAAAUAAAAUUUGGGUGCCGGAUCUUUUCCUUUUUACGUGUUUUUAAACCUAGUUUCCAUAUUUUGCCUAGUUUUAGGGUUUUGACUCGUGUACUAUAAAUAUGUGGCUCUUCUUUCAUUUUAGUUUAAGCCAAAUUGUUGUGUCGUUAUAUUCUCUCCACAUUGUCAAUUAAUAAUACAUCUUACCUCUACAUUUAACUCUCUUUUCUUCUUUACUUUAAACCUUGAUAUAUAUUAUUAUAUUGUUGCAAUCCAUAUUAACUUCAUAUCGCGGCAUUAAGUUCAUUCUUUACAACCCCUCGGUCUCAACAUGUGUGAAUGAAAAGGUAAUAAGUUGUGAGUUCAUAGAAUAUGGAUAAAAUGUCUAUUUGAUCAGUUCAGGACUUCAAGUUAUAAUUUAAACUUUGACCCAAAAAAAAUGUACUGAAGUUGAAGGAUAAAAUGUGUAUUUGAUCCAUGUGUUGCAAUAAUUGGGAUGCUUUAGGCGUUCAGACAUACUCUAAAGCCACUUAAACGGAUGCACUUAUGGCUGGUUUUGUAAGGUUUACUUUACUGUUUUUUACCAUACUAAAGAAGUAACAAGGCCAAAAUCUUAUAUAUGAUAGCGUGCAAUGCUGGGUCGGCUUAACUUGGAAACCAGUGACCGAGGUUUUUGCUUUGAUGUUAAAAUUGUCAAUGCAGACUUCAGGACGGAGAAGCCAAUGUCCUGUCACCUGUGCUUCUUUUAGCACGCUUGCAAGAUUGUUGUCUUUGUUUAAGAACACUUUAGAACGUUUGUAGAAAACUCUCCAAAUUUUUUACACACUUUUUACCCAUGCUCUUGAAACUUUUUACUGAAUUCAUUUAUGUAUCAAUCCCUCUAUUUCUCCCCAAAGAUGAUUCAAGUUUUCAAGAGAUUCCUUCAUCGAUAAGAUAACAUGUCGAGCAAUUCCACAUAUGUUGAUGAGCUUGAGAGAUCCAUCAAGGAACUCACUGGCAUGAUCGCUGAGGGCUUGCUGGACAGCUGGAGCUUCAUCAAAUUAUUGAUACCUUCAUGAAAAACUCUGAGGCUGGCCAACUAUGUGUGUGACUUUGGCAAAGAUUUUUUAAGCUUAUAAAUUGAUCAAACAUCAUUUUUUAUAUCACACAUUCUUCAGGGUCCCAACUUUUAUAUACUUUUUUGGCACACAUUCUUUAGAACUAACUACUUAUAACUACCUAAAAACUUAGACUAGCAAGCACUAAGCAACCAUACUUAGACUAGCAAGCACUAAGCAACCAUACGUUAUUCUUGAUUUUGUGUCCAUGGAGGACAGUCUAGGAUUUUGAAGGAACCCCGUUAGCUAAGCCUAGUGAUAUAGAGCUAACUUGUAUUGAACUUGUUGGGAAUUUACUUAACAUGCGCAGCGGAAAAUUAAAACAGAUUUCGGUUCCCAUCAAGAAUCGCCUUUAUAUUUAGAUAGAAAUUGUGAUAAGAUUGUACCUUUUUCAAAUUUGCAAACUUCUUUGCUAUUCUUUUCGUUCCAGCAAUCUUAAUUUGCCACCCACAACUGUCCAAUUGUCCAGCCUCCAACGGUGAUCCACACAGAGAACAAGAUUGCAGCUACCAGGGUUUUCUCCUCUUGUGCUAGCAAAAAUAAUUAUGAAAAAUCAUGUGGAUUGAAAACCCUAGUCAUGUAUUUAUACAAGUCCAAACGGGUCUGGCCUGGUCCGGUCUAAUAUUUAAUUAAUCCAUUUAAUUAAAUCCAGUCCGUGAAUUAAUUAAUCCAAUUAAUUAAUUCGGGACUAUAAAUAACCAAACCAAUUAAUUAAUUUAUCCAGCGAUUAUUAAAUUAAUUAAUUGACAAAUUGCAAUCUUCCAAUUCUCUUUUGUGUGCGACCCAUCAGGUUCCCGAUCACGAUACCUAACGACGUGAAAUAUUUUUUGAUCUAAUCAAAAUUGAUAAAUUAAAACACCAUUUUAAUUUAUCAUCAAUUCACUCUCGCCAUCUCAAAUUGACAUUUAGCAAUGUGUCAGGGCAAUACAUGUGAUGGAAAAUGUCAUGUGGUAUAACAAAACCAAACUCAUUCGUUUACCGUGAAAUUAUAAUCUCUUCGUCAAUAUGAUUCGAUCAAUUAUGAGAUAUGAAAGUGUGUCAAUCUCGAUUAUCGAUCAUAACUUUGACUCCACUAACAAGUCAAUAUAAGUUGAAAACUCAUUUUCGACUUAUGAGUACACCUUGGCCAAGGAUUUCGUUAUUGACUUAAUUGAAUGAAACGCAGAUCAUAAUAUCUUACUAUCUAAGAGUGACGAAUCCUCUAUUUGUUAAUCACAACAUUCAUAUGAUUAUUGACAUACUUGAACGAUGCCGUAUUAGCAGCCCUUGGCAGAGCAACAUCCAACACCGUCAAAGCAUGACCGUCCUCAUAUAAGGUACUAUGACGACCUCAAGUCAAAAGGACCACUCCCACUAUCGAACGUUAGAGAUUAACCACUAACAUUCAGAUAGUUAUCCAUGUGGAAUCUCUCAGCAAGUCUCCAAUGUUUUGUUCUAUAACAAAACAUCCACGUAUUCAUUUAAGUGUCACCACACUUUAACUUGUGAGAUAAGCUACUUACUUCAUAAGUAAGAAAUGACACACGUGAUGAGCUAUCCGUAAUAACGAUAUCCAUAUCUCGUUAUUACUUACGACCACGGACGAUUUAAAAUUCAAUCAGAUGUAAUUUGUAUCUCACAAUCACAACUCCUUGUGAUUAACAAAUUAUGAAGAUUUGAAUCUACGGACUCUAUUAUUUAUUUAAUUGUCUAUUAAUUGAAUAAUAGAUCUGUCAUUAAAUUGCAUUAAUUAUAUAUCAAAAGUAUUUAUGUCCAGAGUUGAUUGGACUUAGGGCAUAAUAUUUACAAACUCCCACUUGCACUAGAUCCAAUCACUUAUGUAUCCAAUAUCAUAAGUCUACAUGACGAUCAUGUUUAUGCUACGACAACUCUUUGUCAGUGGAUCUACAAUAUUGUUAAAUGUGAGAAUUUGUUCUUCUCUUAUGUCAUUUCUAUGUAUUAUCUCUCUAAUUAUAUUAUACCGCCUUAAUACAUAUUUGGAUUAUUGAUAAGACAUUAGUUCAUUCGCUUUCACAAUGGCUCUAUUGUCAUCACAAUACAAUGACAUGUGAUCAACAAUAUCAGGAACUACUCCAAGUUCAUUUAUGAACAUCAUGAUCCAGAUUGCAACUCUUUGCUACUUCUGAAGUAAUCAUGUAUUAGGUUUCUACUAUUGAAUCAACGGUUGCUUCAUGUUUGGAACCUUUCCAACAUACCGCUUAAGAGUAAACCAGUUUCUCCAUAUGAAAUUUUCUCAAGAUUUCAUCUAUGUAAAUUGGGAUGAGUUAAGCAAUCUUCUAGAUCAAGUUGCUUCUCCCAUAUCCUUCAUGAAUAAAUCCUUUAACAACCAUUAUUUCAAAGAUUGAAACAUAGGGAUAUCGUUUUCUAUAAUAUUAGGAAUACGACAAUACUCCUACUACCUUCUUGUAAACACACAAUUCGUCUUCAAAUUUGAUAAAAUCAAAUACUUUGACUUUUCCAUCAAAUCUAAGAUUUCAGCUCCAAGAGACUUCUCUUAACCUAUAGUCACGGUAUGCAACUGUUGCAAGCAAAACCCGAAUGGACUUAAGCAAGGCUACAGGAGAAAGGUUUCACUAAGGUUAACACUUAACCUUUGCUUCUAGCCUUACUUUGUAUAUAUGGAUAUUCACAUCCAUAUCGACCUUUUCCUUGUAAACUAUUUACAAAAAUUUAUGGGUUUUAUUCCAUCAAGAGGCUUGAUCAAGGUCCAAACCUUGUUCACAUACGUCAAGUUCAUCUCGAGUUUCAUGGUCUCUUGCUGUCUCUUUUAAGUCAACACUUGACUUUAUUUUGGUACAACUAGCAGGUUCAUUAUCCUGGAUCAGUAAUACCUGAUUAGUAAUUAUGGAUUCGCACCUUCUUGAAGGUCGAAUGAUCAUACUAGAUUCACAUAGAGUUGAUAUGUCCUCAGGAGUCUUUACUUCCUGAUUGGUUAACUAUAUUUGUGGACUCUUGAACUCUUUCAAGUUCUAUUUUAGUGUGUUGCACAGUGCAAUCAUUGCAUGACCUCAAAACGAUUUUUUUUUUUGGAGAUUUGCAUGACUUGUUAUUAAUCGCACUAUAUCUAAUAGUUAAUUAUUCCUCCUUUUAGAUACACCACUAUGCUGCAGUGUAUGUGUAGGAGUCCACUGCAAGAGAAUUUCAUUCUCUCUAAGAUAAUCUAGAUUUUAUCUUUAAGAUACUCUCACUUGAUCGAAUCUUAAUGUGAGGGUAUCUUUACCUAUUUGUUUCUCCAAUUUUUAGUUUUAAACCCUUGAACUUUUCAAGAGUUUUAUAUUUGAGUUUCAUCAAGUAUACAUUAUCAUUGAUGAAAUAAGAGAAACAUUACCUGAAAUCAAUUGACAUGAAUCCAUAUGUAUCACUAUGCAUUAUACCAGUAAUUAUGUUGACUUUUCUUCUUUUAAAGUAAAAGAAGAUUUGGUCAUUUUGCCAGACAUACAUAAUUUGUGUUUGUCAUAAUCAAUUAAUCCCAAGUAUACAUCUUUAUGUAACUUUUGGAAUUGCAUUUCAUCUAUAUGACAAAAUCUGCCAUGCCAUGUUUCAGUAAUAAUUAGAUUAUCGCAUUUAUGCCUUAUAAUUUCUACACUCAUUAUAGAAUUCUUAGUAUUAGAGAAUAUAAACGUCGUUUUUGUAAUUUACCAUAGCCAUUAGGAUCUUUAUCAAAAUCAACAAGAACAACAAUUGUCCUUAAAAUUAAAAUAGUUCAUGUCCGAACAUGAAAUUCAUUUUAAUGUUCCAGCUAAGGCAGGUAUAAAGCGACAUUUUUCUAAUUCCAAUACUAAACCAAAAGGUAAUGGCAAGAAGUAUAUUCCUACAGGCAAUGCAACAACAUUUGUUCAUCGCCAACGUGUAGAUUAACUUCUCCCUUUUGCAGUGGUCUACUUCUAUUUAGUUUCUCCAUAUUUGUAUAAAUAUGAGAUUUACAUCUGAUAUCAAAUACCUAAGAAACUCGUGAAGUAGACGUAAGACACGUAAUAUUCCUUUCAAUGACCUUUUCAUUUUAUAAUGAAACCAAGUGUCAUUAGAUUUGGUAUUGUCCUUCGCUUAGACUAUCUUAACCAUAUUGGGUGCUUUCCAAAAGUCCUUUCGGACUUCCUCUUAAUACCCUUAGAUGAAUCAAUGUUUUGCCCACUACCAAUUUUGAUAAAGGGCUUAACAGUCCUAAGCAUGUUAGCAACUUAAUGAGUAUGCAUUUGAGUUUAUUCAUAUCAUAAUUCAUAAUUAGUACGAAUAACUCUAUGAUAAGGAUUGCAGAGCUAAGUCAAUACUUAGUUCAUAGUUAAUGAUUGAACUCAAUUGAGACACUUCUCAUGUCAAUCAUCUUCAGUACAUGAGGAUUGACUGAAGAUUCUUUUGUCACUUUGCAUCGAUAUAGUUGUUUGAAAGUCUCAUAUCCUUCCACACAUAAUUAUUAUCAUACAACUCUUUGUAAUGAAGAAUUAUGUGUUAACAUCUAUACUCUCAAAUUGCUUUUAUAACUCAGGUGACAUAGUUGCAGGUAUCACAUACGUUGCAGUACUAUUGUCAUCACUGCAUUUAUUAUAGCAGCCACCUCUUCCUUAAUCGAGUCAUCACCAGGUGUCUCUGAAAAAUGGUUACUUAAGGACAACCAAUUUUCUCAUGUUUGAGAACAAUUCUCAAAUUGCAGUGCCAAUCAAAAGAUUUAAAUUGGUUGUUGGCAUCCAAUAUGCUUCUCAAAUACACAUGGUUACUCACGAUUCAAUAAAUAUAAAUGACGAAAAGAAAAAGAAUAAUAUAUAAAAUGCAUCAAUGAAUUUAACAUGGAUUUUUAUUAAAUUAAUUAUGCUCCCACUGUUUAACUAAAAUUUAUGACCUUCUUACAUAAAUUUAUGGAGUCCAUACUUGACUCCCAGUGUGUUGGGAUCCCAUCUAUUAUAUUAAAACCUUGAGUGUACUCAACAAGCCUUAAUAUAAUAUUUGGAUAGAUACUAUUAUCAAUUGUAUCUCCAUACAAUUCUCAGAUCAUUAAGCAGACAACUCUUUGUUUUCACAUCUUAUGUGUUAGUUUAACAUGCCUCUAAAAUUUAUCUUCUUGAGUGUACUCAACAAAAGAUAGAUUUUAGUUAAGUCAAACCCGUCAUUCAGAAAUAUCAAAUAUUUCAUAGUGUCAAACAUAUCCCCAAUAGACCAGUCUUGAGUGUACUCAACAAGUUGAGACGAUUUGGGACUCUGAUUUUUCACUAUAAUGAUGGAAGGCGAUUAUAAAUGUGACUUAAUAUUUUAUAGAGGGAUUUUGCAUUCAAAUGUCUCAUCGUAACAAUAAUAUAUAUUUUAUUAUACAUCUACCAUGCAACUAAAUAUAUAUAACAUAAUAUAAUAGUGUGGACGAUUAUUGACUUUAUUAUCUAGUCUUCCCGAGCCGUAAGGAAGACUAGUUGGUCAAUUUCUAGGGGGUAUUACAUUGAUCAGUAUCAAUGCACCAUCUCCAUGGUCUUCUCUUCUUCUUAUUUCUUCAAUUAAUCUAGUUGCAACAUGUAUUCUAUACUAGUUGGCACGUAGGCCUAAAUGAAAUUGGACUCGCAGGCCCAUAGCAACAUAACAAUAACGGACUCGCAGGUCCAAAAUAAUUAAGAGCUCGCAGGCUCAUAAUAAUAACAACAAUAACGGGCUCGCAGACUCAUAAAACGACAAGAAUAAAAUCAAUAAGUAACACAUCCAUAUGGUCGAGUCCAUAAUCAUCUACUAAUAAUGCAUUUAUCACAUAAAUGUAUUCUUAUAUAAUAUCUAAUAUUAUAUGCAAACACAUUUCAAGCUUCUAGCAAUUAAGGUCGUCUAAACUCUUUUAAACAAAUGCAUCAGAACAAUUAAAUAAUUAAUCAAUCAUAUUAAUCAAUUAAUUUAAUUAGCGGGCAUAUUUAAUUAAAAUCAAAUGUUAAUUAAAUAUCGAAUUGGAGUCGAACUCAAAUUCCACAAUUAUAAGGCGGGAUUAUUUAAUAAAAAUCAAAUUUCAAUUAAAUAUCAAAUUAGAGUCAAACUCUAAUUUCAAAACUUAAGGCGAUUGAAUUUAAUUAAAAUCAAAUUUUAAUUAAAUAACAAAAUUAGAGUCCAACUCUAAUUCCAAGAUCUUAGGGCGAACAUGUUUAAUUAAAAUCAAAUUUUAAUUAAACACAAAUUAGAGUCUAACUCUAAUCUUAAAUAAAAUUUUAGGGCAACACAAUUUAAUUAAAAUCAAAUUUUAAUUAAAUGUCAGAUUAGAAUCCAAUUCUAAUUUCAAAAAUAUAAUGGGGUGAAUAAUUAAUUAAAAUCAAAUUUUAAUUAAGUAUUAAAGUCAAACUCUAAUUUAAAUUGAAUUAAUAUUUUAAUCUAAGGAUAACACUCUUAAAUAAAAUAAAAAUUCAAUUGGGUCAAAGUUUAAUAUUUAAGUUAAAAUAAUAUUUUAACGAAAAUAUAAAAAAUUGUCAUUUUUGAAUAAAAUUUUACUUUGGCUCAAAAUUAAAAUUAUGGGUCGAACCCAAUUAAAAAUAAUUUUAAAACCAUUUCAAAAUUCAAAUUCAAAACCAUUUUGAAAACUUUGAAAUUUGACCCAUUUACAAAUUAUCAAUAAGGCCCUCGAGAUUUGAAAUUUUGCAUAACAGCCCUUUAUUCAAAUUUUGCACAAUAACCCCUUAUCCUGUAAUUGCAGAACAGGUCCCUAUUAUUUCUAUAAUUGUACUGAAGUCCUUCAUUUUAAAAUUACAAUCAGACCCUUAUAUCGUAUUGCAGCAAGGGACGUGCAAUUUCCCAAAUUGCAGCUAAACCCCCCGCCUCCAUUCACCCAAAACGCGAUUAUGAAACCCUAGGAAAUUCACCACGCUGGCAAUAAUUUUAGGGCGGCGAUCGCCUGUAAUUAUUUUAGGGGUGGCGACGCCGCCCCUGGGCUCAUGCGGCGGAGGCCGCCUCUCGCAGCAGCAGCGAUGGUGCUCAUCGCUGCCCAUAGCGGCGAGCAUCGCUGUCACAGCGGGCGGCAGCAGCUCGACCGGCGGCAACAAUUGUCGUCGGCUCCUCCGCCAUUCCUUUUUUUUAUAUUAACUUUAUUAAUUUUCCAAUCCAAAAUAAUUUCUAUUCAAAAUCUCAUUUUGAAUAUGAAAAAUUAUUUAUUACCUUAAUCACUAAAACAAGGAAAAACAAUUAACAUUUAAUUGUUCCAACAUGCAAAACAAUUUCUAACAAACACAAAGUAGGCUCUGAUACCACUGUUGGAAAUCUACUUAACAUGCACAGCGAAAAAUUUAAACAGAUUUCGAUUCCCACCAAAAAUCGCUUUUGUGUUUAGAUAGAUAUUGUGAUAAGAUUGUACCUCUUCCAGAUUUGCAAACUUCUUUACUAUUCUUUUCGUUCCAACAAUCUUGAUUCGCCACCCACAGUUGUUCAAUUGUCCAGCCUCCAACGGUGAUCCACACAGAGAACAAGAUUACAGCUACCAGAGUUUUCUUCUCUUGUGCUAGCAAGAAUAAUUAUGAAAAACCACGUGGAUUGAAAACCCUAGCCAUGUAUUUAUACAAGCCCAAACGGGCCUGGUCUGGUCCGAUCCAAUAUUUAAUUAAUCCAUUUAAUUAAAUUCGAUCCGUGAAUUAAUUAAUCCAAUUAAUUAAUUCGGUCCUAUAAAGCCAAUUAAUUAAUUUAUCCAACGAUUGUUAAAUUAAUUAAUUGACAAAUUGCAAUCUUCCAAUUCUCUUUUGUGUGCGACCCAUCAGGUUCCCGAUCACGAUGCUUAACGACGUGAAAUAUUAUUUUGAUCUAAUCAAAAUUGAUAAAUUAAAACACCAAUUUAAUUUAUCAUCAAUUCACACUCGCGGUCCCAGAUUGACAUCUAGUAAUGUGUCAGGGCAAUACAUGUGAUGGGAAAUGUUAUGUGGUAUGACAAAACAAAAUUCAUUCGUUUACCGUGAAAUUAUAAUCUCUUCGUCAAUAUGAUCCGAUCAAUUACGAGAUAUGGAAGUGUAUCAAUCUCGAUUAUCGAUCAUAUCUUUCACUCCACUAUUAAGUCAAUGUAAGUCAAAAACUCCUUUUCGACUUGGCCAAGGAUUUCGUUAUUGACUUAAUUGAAUGAAACGUAGAUCAUAAUCUCUUACUAACUAAGAGUGAUGAAUCCUCUAUUAGUCAUUCACAACCUUCAUAUGAUUAUUGACAUACCCAAACGAUGCCGUAUUAGCAGCCCUUGGCAGAGCAACAUCCAACAUCGUCAAAGCAUGACCGUCCUCAUAUAAGGUACUAUGACGACCUCAAGUCAAAAGGACCAAUCCCACUAUCGAACGUUAGAGAUUAACCACUGACACUUAGAUAGUUAUCCAUAUGGAAUCUCUCGGCAGGUCUCCAAUAUUUUGUUCUAUAACAAAAUAUCCACAUGUUCAUUUAAGUGUCAUCACAUUUUAGUUUGUGAGAUCAGCUACUUACUUCAUAAGUAAGAAAUGCUACACGUGAUGGUCUAUCCGUAUCUCGUUAUUACUUACGACCACGGACGAUAUAAGAUUCAAUCAGAUAUAAUUUGUAUCUCACAAUCACAACUCCUUGUGAUUGACAAAUUAAGAAUAUUUAAAUCUACGAACUAUAUUAUUUAUUUAAUUGUUUAUUAAUUAAAUAUUAGAUCUGUCAUUAAAUUGCAUUAAUUAUAUAUCAAAAAUAUUUAUGUCCAAAGUUGAUUGGACUUAAAACAUAAUACUUACAGAACUACCAGGGAAGACUGCCCGUGUGGAGCCUAACAAUCUUGGAUUCCCCGCAAUGGGCUUGAUCAGGUCGGAUCACCUCUAGUGAUCAGUUAGAAACUUGAAAAUAAUCUUAUACUGGCACAAAAGAUAUUGGCAUCUUUGGUAUAUAUUAAAUUAAAUAAAUUAGACAUAAUAACAGAAAGAGUACAAAACAUAUGAAAUGUUUGUCCGGUAUCUCAUCUAAAGAAAGGUUUUAACACAUCCUUUUUGACUAAUGGAAAAGUUGGUGUAUAUAGCACCACUAUAAGUAGCCAUUUUGUAUGAGUAAUUAGUAUUUGAGCUUGAAAGUGACGUUGUUUAGGUAUCAAAAUGUCUUUCUAGUGAUGUUUAGUGUUAACUGCACUCGAGUUAUUCUUAUAUUUGCACUUCUCAUAAAUUUGGAAAAUUAAAAUAAAUUCUUUCAAACUUUUGACCUUCUUGCUUUCUGGUCUCAAACGUUUAAAUUAAGACUAACAUCGAUAACUUACGCAUUUUUUGCACAGUUGAUCCUUUUGAAUAAAUUCAGUACAAAAUUAUUGUUAAUUUGCAAGUGACCCACACUUUCUUUAAGGGAUAAAUAGUAUAGGUAAUCCCAAAGUUUGAUAAAAUUAGCGAUCUUGUCCCCAACCUUCAAGAGAUUAAAAGUAAAUACAUCUUAUAAUAUGUUUCUAAAAAUACAAAUUUAUCUUUUGUUUUUAAAUAAAAUGAAACAAAUAAAAUAAAUAAAAUAAUUUCCUUCCCAAUAAGUUUAUCAAAAGCAACCAUCAUGCCGUUGUUGCCACCACCACAAUCAAGCACAAAAUGACCGAAAUGAAUUAGAGCUUUUCUCAAUCUCCAAAAAUGAUAAAAAUGAGUUGGGGUGGUGGGGCUGCAACCAGGAGGAAAUGGGUGAAGACGGUGAUUAGUGUUUUAUUUUUUUAAAUAUUUGUUUUGUUGGAGGUGCACCAUUAGCCUGAUUUACUUUUAAGGCUUGUGAUCGGUUUCCUUUAUUAAAAUGGCAUGUUCAAGUCUCAGACUGAUCCAAUAGUAAGUUGACAAAUAAUGUUAGGAGGGAUUGACUUUUCCAUUUACCAAAGAUUAGGAACAAACAUAAGACAAGACAUUUGUAAGGACAUGAACUCUACUUUUGUCAAAAUUGGGACUACAUAUGCAAUUUAUCCUAAUUUCAGUCCACGAAUAAAACUAACAGUCAUUUCGGACGAAAUCCAUCAAAAAGGUCCAUCUGUGCCAAAAAUGAAUAGUUUGGGACAUUAUUGUCAUGAUUUAAAAGUUCAGAAGCAAAAAAUGCAAGAUGGGUAAAGAUUUGGGCGCAUUUAUAUCAAUUUCCCUAUAAUAUUUUCUAUUUCAUAAUUUUUCCCUUAUGAAAAAGAAAAAGUUAGAUUCGUAUUAUAAUAAUCUUUAACCAACAAAGGUCUAGGUGAUUAAAGUUUAGAUAUGAAGUUAAAAAAAUAAAAAUUGUCAUCUAACUUGUAGAAAAAUUCAUCACUUGUCUUUAUUUUGUUCUAAUAGAUUGUAAAAGUUAUCAAUUUAUUACAUCAUCAUCAUCAAUCUGAUUUGUAAUAUUCAAGAAAAUUCGUACAUGACUAAUUAAAAAUGGUUACACGUUGUGAGUGGCAAUACCUUGUUAAUUUUAAAAGUUGAAUCUCCACAUCAAAAACUAGAAAUAAUGCUAACCAAUAACUCGUAAACAAACUUAGCAACUCAAUCAAAUUAAUGUGCAAAAAGUAUCAGAAAAUGAAUGAAUAAAUUAAUCUUGUAAGUAUACGUUUACAUGGUACCCAACAUUAUACCGUCAAAAAAGUAAAAUCUAACAUCUCAUUACAAUACUUUCUAUAUCAAAGUCGAACAUGAUUUAGUGGUAGGAUCAAAUAAAGCCGGAACCAAAUAUUUUCUUCCAUUGACACCAUUUGCAUUGUAGCUAGCACCGGUCGUGGGGUCCACUAGCAAGUCCCCGGCGUAGCCCGGGUAGGCCCCUUUAGCAUAGACCCCAGGGCAGGCCGAGGCAGCCUCCAAUGGUGCAUCAGAUGGGCCCUGGUAGUACCCAUUUCCGAAUGGGUUGGUGGCAGUCCCAGCUAAAAGGCUAGCCAAGUUGAUAACCAUGCCGUCCAAGCCCACAUCAUUGUUGGGUGCAACUAAUGGUGGGCUCUGUGGGCCGUAAAUGGGCUGGUGGAAUGGCCAGGCACAUUGACCCGGGCACUGGGUCUCCGAGUUACCAACCCAGAUGUAGGCAAACUUGCUGUGAUUUUUUCCUUUUCACGAGGGCAGUCUUGGAAGCUACAGAACCAUGGGUUCCGCAUCUACUGGAACAGAAACCUUCAACUGCGACGUCGGCUGAAGUCAAGACUACAUUAAUGGCGUUCGUUUGAUCACCCUUUGCUGCCAAUUGUUGUACUUGCUGCAUUGUGAGUGAUUUACCCAGUGAGCAUUUCUCGUCAGAGAUUUGAUUGCCUAAGUCCAGUUGUAGGGAAGACGAUUUCUUGGAUUUGAUCAAGUGAUAGUACUUCUCUGUAGCUCCCCACCAUUUAGAAACAGAAGGUUGAGCCUCAGAUUUUGAAGACGAUAACGAGGCAAUGAAAUCAGAUAUUAUGGCUUUCUGAGAUGGCUUGAAAUUUCCAUACCAGAUGAGAUUGACGGUGAUCUUGCCAGUAAGAAGUGGGCCCUUGUGGUAUUUGAAAAGCAUAGGAUCUUGAUUUUCCAAUAUUCUUGCUGCAGAAGCAAAACCGAUCACCAAAAAUAUAGAUAUCAAGAUCGUAUUGAUGGAGUAACUGGCUGCCA
RNAcentral lists this long non-coding RNA (21371 nucleotides) under Olea europaea (common olive). RNAcentral describes it as "long non-coding RNA (OEUR_LNC014667)". Lineage: Eukaryota; Viridiplantae; Streptophyta; Magnoliopsida; Lamiales; Oleaceae. The record is from RNAcentral.